AGGCAGGGUUUGUCAGCCUGGGCACUGCUGAGGUUUUGGGCCGGAAUAGCUAAUGACUGCGGGAGAAAAGAUACUAACUCCUUUCUCUUUGCGUUUUUUGCCCCUACCCUUUUUUCUCUUUUCUGGCCUUAACAUGAUUGUCAAAUAUUUAUAAAUAUGAGUGAGCAUCUUUAUAUUACUCUUAUUAAUAAGAUACAUGCUUAAUUUGUCAUUCUUUACCUUUUUGGGACUUAAUGAAUGUUUGUCUUUUGUAGAUAAAAUGGAGCUGCUAGAAAUAGCAAAAGCCAGCCACCCAUAUUAACCCCUCCAUUUUCCCUAUAAUUAAUGGCUUUCAUUAUUGUGGUAUAUUUGUUACAAUUACUGGACUAAUAUGAUACAUUAUUAUUAACUGACAUCCACAUUUUAUUCAGAUUUCUUUAGUUUUUUGCCUAAUGUCUUUUUCUGUUCCAGGAUCCCCUCCAGAAUACCACAUUACAGUUAAUUGUUAUGUCUCCUUAGUCUCCCCUUGGCUGUGUCAGUUUCACAUCCUUUCUUUGUUUUUGAUGAUAUAGAUGUGAAGAGUACUAGCCAGGAAUAUUAUAGGUAUUGGUUUUUUUAAAUGUAUGUGUCAUUUCAUGAUUAAAAAUCAGUUGCGGCCGGGUGUGGUGGCUCAGCACUUUGGGAGGCUAAGGUGGGAGGAUUGCUUGAGGCCAGGAGUUCAAGACCAGCCUGGCCAAUGUGGCAAAACCCCGUCUCUACUAAAAAUACAAAAAAUAUGGCUGGGCACAGUGGCACACACCUGUAAUCCCAACUACUCGGGAGGCUGAAGCACAAGGAUCGUUUGAACCUGGGGGGUGGAGGUUGUAGUGAGCCAAGAUUGUGCCACUGCAUUCUAGUCUAGGCAACAGGUGAGACUCUGUCUCAAAAAAAAAAAAAAAAAGUGUGGAUUACAGUAUCUGUUGGGCCU
Molecule: long non-coding RNA, 946 nt
Filed under: Pan troglodytes (chimpanzee)
Lineage: Eukaryota; Metazoa; Chordata; Mammalia; Primates; Hominidae
Description: long non-coding RNA NONPTRT000911
Source: RNAcentral